Molecule: long non-coding RNA, 507 nt
Organism: Ochotona princeps (American pika)
Lineage: Eukaryota; Metazoa; Chordata; Mammalia; Lagomorpha; Ochotonidae
Exons: 3
Source: RefSeq, a predicted model, not a curated record
UGCAGCUCGACAUCCGUUAGCGACUGAGCCAGACUUCGGUUUCUUUCUACCUCCGAGAGCAAAUCUCCGGAUGAAAGAUCUAAGAUGCGUGAAUGAAGUUUCUAGGAAAAACCAAGCAGAAACAUUGAACAGUGAUAAUUUAAUUGUCAAAGUCCAGACUCAGACAGGCAUUUAGAAAUAUUUUUCUGAGAUGGGAACCACAGGUUUCGUCAAGGUGAAAAACAUUUACAAACCACAAUGAUCUUGGGACUCCUCAAGCCCUUGGUUCCAUGCUGAGUGUGGGUUUGCAGCCUCUGUGUUGGCUCUGAAUUUCCCUGUAUGUGAGCGAGGAAGCAUAAAUUUCAGUCACCCGAAGUCCUGCCAGUGAGCUCUAGGACCUGGAAUGCUGCUAAUGUGGAUCUAAUCACAAGCUUGGGCAGAACACUUUACCCACUCACUUCUCUACGUGUCUACAAGCAAGGCAUCACCUUCCCUGAGAUCCAGCCUCAUGAUACUACCUCUCAGGAG